CCGGCGCACGGGUGAGUAACGCGUAUCCAACCUGCCACCACUUGGGGAUAACCUUGCGAAAGUAAGACUAAUACCCAAUGAUAUCUCUAGAAGACAUCUGAAAGAGAUUAAAGAUUCAUCGGUGAUGGAUGGGGAUGCGUCUGAUUAGCUUGUUGGCGGGGUAACGGCCCACCAAGGCAACGAUCAGUAGGGGUUCUGAGAGGAAGGUCCCCCACAUUGGAACUGAGACACGGUCCAA
RNAcentral lists this ribosomal RNA (238 nucleotides) under uncultured bacterium. RNAcentral's name for it is "partial 16S ribosomal RNA". It matches the Rfam family "Bacterial small subunit ribosomal RNA", at positions 95 to 334 of the family's 1533-position model. The record is from RNAcentral.